AUAUUGCACAAUGGGGGAAACCCUGAUGCAGCGACGCCGCGUGAGCGAAGAAUGCAUACAGGUAGUAAAGCUCUGUUUCGAGGGAAGAUAAUGACGGUACCUCGACAGAAAGCACCGGCUAAAUACGUGCCAGCAGCCGCGGUAAUACGUAGGGGGCAAGCGUUAUCCGGAAUCACUGGGCGUAAAGGGUGCGUAGGCGGCCAAUAAAGUCAGAGGUUAAAUCCCAGGGCUCAACCCUGGUCAGCCUUUGAAACUUAGUGGCUUGAGUGCAGGAGAGGAGAGUGGAAUUCCUAGUGUAGCGGUGAAAUGCGUAGAUAUUAGGAGGAACACCAGUGGCGAAGGCGACUCUCUGGACUGUAACUGACGCUGAGGCACGAAAGUGUGGGUAGCAAACA
Molecule: ribosomal RNA, 395 nt
Filed under: uncultured bacterium
Lineage: Bacteria
Description: partial 16S ribosomal RNA
Rfam family: Bacterial small subunit ribosomal RNA
Source: RNAcentral